Molecule: long non-coding RNA, 1862 nt
Filed under: Equus caballus (horse)
Lineage: Eukaryota; Metazoa; Chordata; Mammalia; Perissodactyla; Equidae
Description: lncRNA (ENSECAG00000055187.1)
Source: RNAcentral
CACACACACACACACACAAAACUGUAUGGUGGUGGUCAUUUUGGCUGCUUUUUGGCUCUUAUGACUGCAGAAGUAUUUGGGGACCAUGCAGAAGACUUGCAUCUUCCAGGCCCCAGAAAUUAUCCAACUGGAGCAGUGGGAAGAGCUCUAGGUGCCUGUUAGGGAUUAAAUUACGUCCCCAUAAAAUUCCUGUGUUGAAAUCCUGAUGCCCCAAUGUGACUGUAUUUGGAGACAGGGCCUUUAGAGAGGUAAAUAAGGUUAAAUGAGGUUGUAGGGUGGGGCUCCAAUCCAACAUGAUGGGUGUCCUCAUAAGAAAAGGAGGAGACACCCGUGUUGCAUGCACACAGAGGAAGAGGCAUGUGAGCACACAGUGAAAAGGUGGCCAUCUGCAAGCCAUGGAAAGGGGCCUCAGGAGAAACCAACCCCCCCAGCACCUUGAUCUUGGACGUCCAGCCUCCAGAACUGUGAGUGUGCAUCCAGAUGGCAGCCGUACUGAAGUGGGUAUGUGAGAGAGGCUUCUUCUUUAGUGUAGACCAUCACUAUGCUGGAAGCUACACAGUGGAGAGAAAACCUUAAGCAGGGUCUCAAACUUGAGAACUGCAGAGUCUACUUUUCACAGAAGCCCUUCACAGGUGGGGAGGGUGAGAAGGAGUUCCCAACCAGCUCAGGGCUUCUCAAACAUCAGGUCAUUCACAGCGACGGAUGAGGAAGCAGCCAGGAGCUCUGAGCGGGAGGAGGCCUUCCCCACUGGACAAGGCAUCGGAACAGCGUUGAGUAUGGGAGAGCCUUCGAUCACAAUAGAUACUUGUUCGGCAGCAGAGAACACACACUGGGUAGAAUCAUUUUGAAUAUGAUGAAUACAGAAAAUCCUUUAACCAUAAACCCAUACGCCGUAAAUCAUCUCUGGAGAAUUUACACUGGAGAAACACCAUAUGAGCCCAGCUAUUGUGGGAAUUUUAUCAAAGGCUUCCACCUCAUCCAACACCAGGGUGCUCACACUGGGAAAAGCUUUCUACGUGCAGCAAAUGGAGGAAAUCCUUUUUGAGAACCCAAGGAUUCACACUGGAGAAAGGCAUUUUGAAUGCAGCAAUGUUUUUUUAUACAAAAUCUCCAGCCUCAUUAAACAUCAAAGCAUUCACAGGAGAAAAAGGCCUAACGAAUCGGGGGGAAUGGGGGAAAUUCUUUACCCACAUCCCCAGCCUCAUUCAACCCUGGAGAGUUCAAACGUCAGCAAGGUCCUCUGAAUGAAGUGAAUAUAGGAGAUGGUUUCACAAAAGGUCCAACCUCAUUUGGCACCAGAAGUUUACAACAGAGAAAGACCUUCUGUGGGAAAGACUUCAGCUAAAUGUCUGCUCUGAUCCAACCCUGGAAAAUUCACAGCCCAGGAAGAACCCCUAAGUGCAGUGAAGGCAGGACACCUUCAGCCAAAGGCCUGACAUCCUCAGCACCAGCAAGUUCACGCUGGGUUGAGCAUUCACAUGCUUAUUGGCCAAUUGGACAUCCUCUUCUGUGAGGUUCCUGUUCAAGCAUUUUACAUACCUUUAUAAAAUUGAGUUGGUUGUCUCAUUCUUUUUGAUUAUCAGGAAAUCUUUAUACAUUUGAUACAAGCUUUUUACCAGGUAUAUGUAUUGAGAAUAUCUUCUACAAGGCUGUGGUUGGCCUUUCUAUCCUUUUAAUCAUAACUUUCAUAAUAAACAGAAGUUCUUAAUGGGUUGACAUUUAAUCCAUUGCUAGCAUCCUUUUUAAGAUAUGUUUGCCUAACACAAUGUCCUGAAGAUAUUUGCAUGUUUUCUUCUACAAACUGUCAUUUUAUUGUUCAUAUUAAGAUCUAUUAUUCAUUGUAAAUUAAUUUUUGUGUAUAG